AGACCGCUUGAGGCGUGCAGCAUCCCUACG
Molecule: small RNA, 30 nt
Filed under: Bombyx mori (domestic silkworm)
Lineage: Eukaryota; Metazoa; Arthropoda; Insecta; Lepidoptera; Bombycidae
Description: ovarian small RNA-4490
Source: RNAcentral